AGAUGUCUUUCAGAUGAGGUAAAUUGAGCUCAUGAAAUUAUACUUUUGAAAUGCCAUCUAUCAUUCUGUGAAAGAUUCAUCUUACAAGCGUAGACUAAAACAGUGAUAGUACUGUCUAGGAUAAAGGAUCCUAUUUACCUCAACACGUCAUACUUCAUAAAAAUAACACCCAAGAUAAAGCUUGUAAUAAAUGCUAGUCAGUCAGCUCAAAGCAAAUCAGUGAGGUCUGUAACAACAAAGUCAGCAACUCUCAGAGCAGAAGGUUUUAACAGAGCAGGCACAGAUGAUUUCAAUGAAAGGCACAGAUGGACUCUGAGGUGAAGACAGUAAAAUUAACCCUUCAAUCUUCCUAAUAAACAAUGAACCUGCCUACCCUUAAUCUGAUCAACCCUAUCUUUAAACAAGCCACUGAAAUGUGAGGCUUUUAAAUUUAAUUUUGUGAAGCAUUACAUAUUUUACAUUCUCCAUGUAGUAGCUGAAACCCCAGUUACUUUCAUUACAGCAUUAUUUACGUAUGUCACUCUAAAAGUAAUGCCUCCUAUUUGUUUCCAUGGAAACUACAACAAAUACAAAAGAAGAGACCCUAAACCCUCUCCGGGCAGCCCGUGUCAUCACAGGCUCCAUCACAGCAUAGAAAUGCUCCCAGGUGCUUAGAGGGAGCCACUUAUGUCCCAGUGUGUCUCCACUGACUCCCAUCCUGACACCAGGCACCACUGGUGAAGAAAACCUGCCUUCAUCCUCUCAGAACUCUCCCUUCAGGAUGUUCACAAAACCAGACUGGAUCCCAGGUGUUUUGAGACAGCAAACAACAAAGAGAGAUACACAGGAACAGGGAAGUCCAUUAAAAGAUAGGAGCACUCGCUGCAUUUCAUUCUUCAUUUCUCCAACCUAACUUGCAAGCUUUAUUCCCCUGCAUAUGAAAUUGAAGUUCACCCCAAAAACUGCUGGCAUUUAUCAAGGAACUGAGUCAAAAAGAAGACAGACAGUUUGAAACUACAACCCUUUUAUUCAUCCUUUUCUCCAUUCUGAUGCACGGGAAAGCUGCAACGCAACUUCUCUAUGCUGCUCUCCAUUCAUACCAGAAGGAUGAGUCAGGAAGUGAACCUUAUAUUUCGCCUUAUUACUUUCAUUGCUCUACAAUUACAACUCUAUUGUUGUACCUACACAUAAGCUUUCAA
Phasianus colchicus (ring-necked pheasant) is the source of this 1178-nucleotide long non-coding RNA. RefSeq lists it as uncharacterized. The record is from RefSeq and is a predicted model, not a curated record. Lineage: Eukaryota; Metazoa; Chordata; Aves; Galliformes; Phasianidae.